This 660-nucleotide ribosomal RNA is filed under the name uncultured Pseudomonadota bacterium. RNAcentral describes it as "bacterial SSU rRNA". It matches the Rfam family "Bacterial small subunit ribosomal RNA", at positions 840 to 1504 of the family's 1533-position model. Lineage: Bacteria; Pseudomonadati; Pseudomonadota. The record is from RNAcentral.
UUAGUGACGUAGCUAACGCGUGAAGUUGACCGCCUGGGGAGUACGGUCGCAAGAUUAAAACUCAAAGGAAUUGACGGGGACCCGCACAAGCGGUGGAUGAUGUGGAUUAAUUCGAUGCAACGCGAACAACCUUACCUACCCUUGACAUGUCCGGAAGCCUGUAGAGAUACGGGGGUGCCCGAAAGGGAGCCGGAACACAGGUGCUGCAUGGCUGUCGUCAGCUCGUGUCGUGAGAUGUUGGGUUAAGUCCCGCAACGAGCGCAACCCUUGUCCUUAGUUGCUACGCAAGGGCACUCUAAGGAGACUGCCGGUGACAAACCGGAGGAAGGUGGGGACGACGUCAAGUCCUCAUGGCCCUUAUGGGUAGGGCUUCACACGUCAUACAAUGGCCGGUACAGAGGGUUGCCAACCCGCGAGGGGGAGCCAAUCCCAGAAAGCCGGUCGUAGUCCGGAUUGCAGUCUGCAACUCGACUGCAUGAAGUCGGAAUCGCUAGUAAUCGCGGAUCAGCAUGUCGCGGUGAAUACGUUCCCGGGUCUUGUACACACCGCCCGUCACACCAUGGGAGUGGGUUUUACCAGAAGCAGGUAGCCUAACCGUAAGGAGGGCGCCUACCACGGUAGGAUUCAUGACUGGGGUGAAGUCGUAACAAGGUAGCCGUA